RNAcentral lists this ribosomal RNA (376 nucleotides) under uncultured bacterium. Its description in RNAcentral is "bacterial SSU rRNA". It matches the Rfam family "Bacterial small subunit ribosomal RNA", at positions 335 to 704 of the family's 1533-position model. The record is from RNAcentral.
ACUCCUACGGGAGGCAGCAGUGGGGAAUAUUGCACAAUGGGGAAACCCUGAUGCAGCCAUGCCGCGUGUGUGAAGAAGGCCUUCGGUUGUAAAGCACUUUCAGUAGGGAGGAAGGUAGUGUAGUUAACACCUGCAUUAUUUGACGUUACCUACAGAAGAAGCACCGGCUAACUCCGUGCCAGCAGCCGCGGUAAUACGGAGGGGUGCGAGCGUUAAUCGGAAUUACUGGGCGUAAAGCGCAUGCAGGCGGCCUGUUAAGUCAGAUGUGAAAGCCCGGGGGCUUAACCUCGGAAUUGCAUUUGAAACUGGCAGGCUAGAGUCUUGUAGAGGGGGUAGAAUUUCAGGUGUAGCGGUGAAAUGCGUAGAGAUCUGAAGG